RNAcentral lists this unclassified non-coding RNA (348 nucleotides) under soil metagenome. RNAcentral's name for it is "partial contains 5.8S ribosomal RNA, internal transcribed spacer 2, and large subunit ribosomal RNA". The stretch from base 1 to 120 matches the Rfam family "5.8S ribosomal RNA", at positions 35 to 154 of the family's 154-position model. The record is from RNAcentral.
GAUGAAGAACGCAGUGAAAUGCGAUAAGUAAUGUGAAUUGCAGAAUUCAGUGAAUCAUCGAAUCUUUGAACGCACAUUGCGCCCGCCAGUAUUCUGGCGGGCAUGCCUGCCCGAGCGUCAUUUCAACCCUCGAACCCCUCCGGGGGGUCGGCGUUGGGGAUCGGCACUUACCUGCCGGCCCCGAAAUACAGUGGCGGUCUCGCCGCAGCCUCUCCUGCGCAGUAGUUUGCACACUCGCACCGGGAGCGCGGCGCGUCCACGGCCGUAAAACAACCCAAACUUCUGAAAUGUUGACCUCGGGUCAGGUAGGAAUACCCGCUGAACUUAAGCAUAUCAAUAAGCGGAGGA